GAUGAACGCUGGCGGCGUGCUUAACACAUGCAAGUCGAACGGAAAGGCUCCUGCUUGCAGGGGUACUCGAGUGGCGAACGGGUGAGUAACACGUGGGUGAUCUGCCCUGCACUUCGGGAUAAGCCUGGGAAACUGGGUCUAAUACCGGAUAGGACCACAUUUUGGAUGGUGUGGUGGAAAGUUUUUCGGUGUGGGAUGAGCUCGCGGCCUAUCAGCUUGUUGGUGGGGUAAUGGCCUACCAAGGCGUCGACGGGUAGCCGGCCUGAGAGGGUGUACGGCCACAUUGGGACUGAGAUACGGCCCAGACUCCUACGGGAGGCAGCAGUGGGGAAUAUUGCACAAUGGGCGCAAGCCUGAUGCAGAGACGCGGCGUGGGGGAUGACGGCCUUCGGGUUGUAACCUCCUUUCGCUAGGGACGAAGCGCAAGUGACGGUACCUGGUGAAGAAGCACCGGCUAACUACGUG
RNAcentral lists this ribosomal RNA (465 nucleotides) under uncultured bacterium. RNAcentral's name for it is "partial 16S ribosomal RNA". It matches the Rfam family "Bacterial small subunit ribosomal RNA", at positions 28 to 507 of the family's 1533-position model. The record is from RNAcentral.